CUUUCCGAAAAGGUAUCACAUGCC
Molecule: non-coding RNA, 24 nt
Filed under: Arabidopsis thaliana (thale cress)
Lineage: Eukaryota; Viridiplantae; Streptophyta; Magnoliopsida; Brassicales; Brassicaceae
Source: RNAcentral